AUGAUGGACUACAGGACAGGACUGCUGCUGGUUUUUAUUGUCUGUGGAGGUGUUGAUGGUCAGACUCUGAUAGAAUCUGAACCAGCAGUUAAAAGACCUGGAGAAUCCCACAGACUGACCUGUACAGGCUCUGGAUUCACAUUCAGCAGCUACUGGAUGAACUGGGUCAGACAGGCUCCUGGAAAAGGACUGCAGUGGGUUGCUGCUGAUACUAGUGGUAGCCAAUAUUACUGUCAGUCAGUACAAGGCUGGUUCACCAUCUCCAGAGACAACAGCAAACAGCAGGUGUAUCUGCAGAUGAACAGUCUGAAAACUGAAGAUUCUGCUGUUUAUUAUUGUGCUUGA
This is a non-coding RNA of Melanotaenia boesemani (Boeseman's rainbowfish), 345 nucleotides long. Lineage: Eukaryota; Metazoa; Chordata; Actinopteri; Atheriniformes; Melanotaeniidae. The record is from the annotation of a RefSeq genome assembly.